Molecule: ribosomal RNA, 253 nt
Filed under: uncultured bacterium
Lineage: Bacteria
Description: partial 16S ribosomal RNA
Rfam family: Bacterial small subunit ribosomal RNA
Source: RNAcentral
UACAGAGGUCCCAAGCGUUGUUCGGAUUCACUGGGCGUAAAGAGUGUGUAGGCGGUGCUCUAAGUUCGGUGUGAAAUCUCCCGGCUCAACUGGGAGGGUGCGCCGGAAACUGGGGUGCUGGAGCGCGGGAGAGGAAAGCGGAAUUCCUGGUGUAGCGGUGAAAUGCGUAGAUAUCAGGAGGAACACCGGCGGUGUAGACGGCUUUCUGGACCGUAGCUGACGCUGAGACACGAAAGCGUGGGUAGCAAACAGG